Suricata suricatta (meerkat) is the source of this 325-nucleotide long non-coding RNA. RefSeq lists it as uncharacterized. Lineage: Eukaryota; Metazoa; Chordata; Mammalia; Carnivora; Herpestidae. The record is from RefSeq and is a predicted model, not a curated record. The transcript is spliced from 2 exons.
CCUCUCUUUGGGGGUCUGGGCUGUCGUCCUGCCCUGAAGGGAGAAUGAAGAACCAGCUACUUUACCUCAAAAGACCCCCUCAUUCAAAUAUUUCUGCCAAACAUCUGUUUCUUCCUGCCAGAUGGAGUUACUACCAUCCCUUCACCAACUGUGCGGACUCGGCAAGAGAAGGACCCGGUCGGGAGAUAAAGGCACCGGCCGAAUGGCCAACAGGUGAGCUGCUGGCACCCUGAGCUUCUGUCCUGCACCAACCUAAACAAUUACGACGUUUGAAAAUUUUUUCACUUUUUAAAUAACAAUAAUAAACAUUAGCUAAAAAUCCUAA